GGUUGAACCCCACUUUUCCCUUUGGUUUGUUUCUUCCUGAUUGAGUACAUAUACUCAUCUUCUCCAAAAUACCAGGGAAAGGCGCGCAUAAUUUCGAUUCCAGCAAGAACACACUCCUUCACUGAAUAGGCACGAACAUACAAUUUUCAUUGAAGACCACACUCAUGCACAGCAAAAGAGAGAGAGAGAUUAAGAGGUCAAGGAGAGAACAGACCAGAGAAAACAUCAAAACAGAAAAGAAAAACUCAAAAAUGGAUUAGAAAUAGGAAGGGAAUGAUAUGACAAUGAGCAGUUUCUGAUUGGGUCUGGCCGAAAAUUUCAAGUUUUGCCGAAAAAUGCAAAAACCUGGUUCGUUUGGUAUUCGUUGUUGGUUCGGGGAUUUAGAUUUCAGUUCAUCUUAACUCGUUCGUUGAGUUCAGUUUUGGGUUUCAAUUCCUCAAACUGAGUUGGAUUCUUGAUCGGAUUGAGGUUUCUUGUUCGAGGUUUUCGGUUUCGGAUUUCUCUAUUAUCAAUGAAAAUGAGUUCCAUUGAGGGAAUGCCCCGAGAGAUUUGUAUUGAUUCAUCCGGGGAAUGCCCCGAAGUAUCAUGUACUUGAAGAAGGCACACGAUCAAGGCCUGGAACAUCAGGUGGAGAAAGCAAUGGAGCAUAGUUAGGAUUAGUUUAGAACAAGACAGGUUUAUAUUUUCUCAUUUUUCAUUUUUCCGGGAUUGUAUAAUUGGACUGGUCUUUAAAUUUUGGAUUGUUUUGUCUUGU
Capsicum annuum is the source of this 754-nucleotide long non-coding RNA. RefSeq lists it as uncharacterized. Lineage: Eukaryota; Viridiplantae; Streptophyta; Magnoliopsida; Solanales; Solanaceae. The record is from RefSeq and is a predicted model, not a curated record. The transcript is spliced from 2 exons.